Molecule: long non-coding RNA, 624 nt
Filed under: Equus asinus (donkey)
Lineage: Eukaryota; Metazoa; Chordata; Mammalia; Perissodactyla; Equidae
Description: lncRNA (ENSEASG00005036292.1)
Source: RNAcentral
UGAGUGUAGAAGACCUUCUACCAACCUCUAACCCCUUCUGCGUGGCUAACGGCCACCAGUCCUUCAGGUCUCAACCCAAACAUCACUUCUUCAGACCAGCCCUCCAAGUAAUCCAGCCGAGCCUCUGGGGUUUGCUGGCGAUCCUCGGUGUCGCUUGGCUUGCAGAUACAUCACUCCAGUCUCUGCCUCUGUCAUCACAAGACGUCCUCGCCUGAAUACGAGUUCCAUGAAGACAGGGGCUCCUCUCCUGUUCACCACUGUCCGGCAACAACUGUGAGGUUUCAGACUCUAGGACACCACUAAGGUUCUAGGAUUCUAGGUUCACCACGGCCACUGCCACCAGCCACUCCACAUACUACCCUUGCAAUGGAUUCUACCGUGAGGCUUAGGCAAGCUCACCAACUGUUGGAGCUUCAGGGAAGGGGGAGAAGUAACUGAAAAGUGAGAGCCACACAGUGCCUUCUGUCCAGAUCAGUCAUUGGAUGAGGCCCGCCUCCAGAAGGGCAUGACACCAGUUAAGCUAGCUCACUGCAUCAGAGGCUGACCCUGAAGGGUCUCACAGAUGAAGGCAGCCUGCCUGCAGCUCCACACCUGCAACAACAGGCGGCGCAUCUCCAUGUCUAC